GGGGCCGACCUGGUUUCGACGGGGGUUGCAAAGCGGAUGAGGGCAUACCGGGAUCUCAGAUUCCCGUAAAACGCUGAAUUUAUAUAGUCGCAAACGACGAAACUUACGCACUAGCUGCUUAAACCCAGCUGGUCUCUGCACUGAUUUGCUGAUGGGUCAGGCGGGCAACCGCAGCAGAGUCAUUUACAUCUGAUCGUAUUGGGUCGGGUUACUUGAUCCAAUAUUAAAUCCAAGGUAACUCGCUUGUGCCAAGCCUGUCGGUCGGCGUGUCACGGGUUAAAUACAGUUGGCCAGACUAAGUAUGUAGAACUCACCGUAGAGGAUUUCCGGACGCGGGUUCGAUUCCCGCCGGCUCCACCA
RNAcentral lists this transfer-messenger RNA (360 nucleotides) under Neisseriaceae bacterium. It matches the Rfam family "transfer-messenger RNA". From Rfam's summary of the family: Bacterial tmRNA, also known as 10Sa RNA or SsrA, is named for its dual tRNA and mRNA-like properties. Its role is to liberate the mRNA from a stalled ribosome. Lineage: Bacteria; Pseudomonadati; Pseudomonadota; Betaproteobacteria; Neisseriales; Neisseriaceae. The record is from RNAcentral.